GACGAACGCUGGCGGCGUGCUUAACACAUGCAAGUCGAACGGUGAAGCGCCUUCCUUUUUGGUGGGUGUGGAUGAGUGGCGAACGGGUGAGUAACACGUUAGUAACCUGCCCCCUUCUUCUGGAUAACCGCAUGAAAGUGUGGCUAAUACGGGAUAUUCUGGGUCUGUCGCAUGAUGGGUCUGGGAAAGAUAUUGUUUCGGUGGGGGAUGGGCUCGCGGCCUAUCAGCUUGUUGGUGGGGUGAUGGCCUACCAAGGCGGUGACGGGUAGCCGGCCUGAGAGGGUGGACGGUCACACUGGGACUGAGACACGGAGCAGACUCCUACGGGAGGCAGCAGUGGGGAAUAUGGCACAAUGGGCGCAAGGCUGAUGCAGCGACGCCGCGGGAGGGAUGGAGGCCUGCGGGUUGUGAACCUCUUUCGCCAGUGAAGCAGGGCUGCCUCGUUUGUGGGUGGGUUGACGGUAGCUGGAUAAGAAGCGCCGGCUAACUACGUG
Molecule: ribosomal RNA, 494 nt
Filed under: uncultured bacterium
Lineage: Bacteria
Description: partial 16S ribosomal RNA
Rfam family: Bacterial small subunit ribosomal RNA
Source: RNAcentral